CGUCAGGUCGAGGUGUAGCACACGAGAGGGGAAGAAAUGGGCUACAUUUCCUGACUACAGUAAACACGAAUGAUGCAUUGAAAGCAUGCAACUGAAGGAGGAUUUAGCAGUAAGCGGGAAGUAGAGUGUCCCACUGAAACCAGCUCUUAAGCGCGCACACACCGCCCGUCACCCUCCCCAAGACAGUAAAACACAAGUAACUAACCCCAAACACAACACCAAGGGGAGGAAAGUCGUAACAUGGUAAGCGUACCGGAAGGUGUGCUUGGCUAAAU
This 275-nucleotide ribosomal RNA is filed under the name Psammoperca waigiensis. RNAcentral's name for it is "partial 12S ribosomal RNA". It matches the Rfam family "Bacterial small subunit ribosomal RNA", at positions 1183 to 1533 of the family's 1533-position model. The record is from RNAcentral. Lineage: Eukaryota; Metazoa; Chordata; Actinopteri; Centropomidae.